CACAGGCACCCGCGAGGACGAGGACGAGGCCGCGGACGUGCAAGGGGCUGCGUGUCUCCUGCCACACGCCCGUCGGGGCAGGUGCUGGGUGUGCAUCGGGGUCGGUAACCGGGUCAGGCUGCGCGACCCGCUGAGAGGAACGGGCCCUCCCGCCUGCGGGACCGGGCGUGUCCUGUGUCCCCGAGGCCAGCAAGCGGGCGCCACGGCACUCCGAGGACGCGGCCUGAACUACACACGUGCCUUGGGCUAAACACGUGUCCUCCAGGGACCGAGAGCCGCCCCACCGCGUGACAGUGACACACCCCACGGAUGCCGCAGCGUCCCUCCCCCGCGUGACCGGGGGCCAGCCGGUCACCUCCCCUCCGCCCCACACCGUCCCUCCCGCCCUCCUGCAGCAGGACCCCGGGCCUCAGCCUGGACUGGAACCUGAGCACCAGCCCCCCGGGGCCUCGCCGGCCCCCCAGGCCCCCAACCCCGCGCUGAGCGGCUGGGCGCUGCCCCCAAAGCGGGCGGCACACGCCCCAUCAGUCUCAUGAGGAGAAUCGGACCCCGCAAAGUCAGGCCGCAGCCCAUUACGUUUGACACAAGGACCUGGUCUUGUUGCACGUGGUGGAGACGUGUGUGCAGCAUGUGCCAACGCGGCCGCCCUGGACCCCAGAUGGAGGGCGGUCCCCACCAGCUCAGUUCACAGAGGAUGACGGGUGACCCAGAAGGGCUCCCUGUGCGCGCGAUGCCCUCCAUGCCUGAGACCGAUGACGAGCUGGGGGCGUCGGGGCCAUGUCAGGGCCACGGUCUGCAGGCGGCGUCACCAUCCACCUGCCCGGGGACACGUGGCUGCCCUGUCUGCACACGCGGGUGUCCUGUCUGCACAUAUGACUCCCCUGCCUGCACACGCGGGGACCAUGCUUGCACACAGCUGCCCUGUCUGCACACGCAUCUGGGGUUCAGGGGUGAAAGGUCGGGGUCUCCUCCUCCACUUCAAUCCGCCGGUCUUGGUUCUCAUGACGCCGUUGAGAAAACGCUUUGGGACGAUUUUAGAACUUGAUGAAGCCUCCUGGGUUUUGAAUUCUGGACUCAUCAGGACUAUUUUGGAGUUUGAUUUGGUUUAUUCUCAAGAGAAAACAAAGCCCAGUUUCCUGUUUUGAAAUAAAUUCUUUCAUAAACUU
This is a long non-coding RNA of Canis lupus familiaris (dog), 1166 nucleotides long. RefSeq lists it as uncharacterized. NCBI's taxonomy places the organism in Eukaryota, Metazoa, Chordata, Mammalia, Carnivora, Canidae. The transcript is spliced from 2 exons. The record is from RefSeq and is a predicted model, not a curated record.